UACGAAGGGUGCAACCGUUGCUCGGAAUCAUUGGGCGUAAAGCGCACGUAGGCGGCUUGCCAAGUCGGACGUGAAAUCCCUCAGCUCAACUGAGGACGUGCAUCCGAAACUGGCGAGCUUGAGUACUGAAGAGGAUCGCGGAAUUCCCGGUGUAGAGGUGAAAUUCGUAGAUAUCGGGAGGAACACCAGUGGCGAAGGCGGCGAUCUGGGCAGAUACUGACGCUGAGGUGCGAAAGCGUGGGGAGCAAACAGG
This 253-nucleotide ribosomal RNA is filed under the name uncultured bacterium. RNAcentral's name for it is "partial 16S ribosomal RNA". It matches the Rfam family "Bacterial small subunit ribosomal RNA", at positions 524 to 776 of the family's 1533-position model. The record is from RNAcentral.